AGUGAACGCUGGCGGUAGGCCUAACACAUGCAAGUCGAACGGCAGCACAGUAAGAGCUUGCUCUUACGGGUGGCGAGUGGCGGACGGGUGAGGAAUACAUCGGAAUCUACUUUUUCGUGGGGGAUAACGUAGGGAAGCUUACGCUAAUACCGCAUACGACCUACGGGUGAAAGCAGGGGAUCUUCGGACCUUGCGCGAUUGAAUGAGCCGAUGUCGGAUUAGCUAGUUGGCGGGGUAAAGGCCCACCAAGGCGACGAUCCGUAGCUGGUCUGAGAGGAUGAUCGGCCACACUGGAACUGAGACACGGUCCAGACUCCUAAGGGAGGCAGCAGUGGGGAAUAUUGGGCAAUGGGGGCAAGCCUGAUCCAGCCAUACCGCGUGGGUGAAGAAGGCCUUCGGGUUGUAAAGCCCUUUUGUUGGGAAAGAAAAGCAGCAGGUUAAUACCCCGCUGUUCUGACGGUACCCAAAGAAUAAGCACCGGCUAACUUCGUG
This 492-nucleotide ribosomal RNA is filed under the name uncultured bacterium. RNAcentral's name for it is "partial 16S ribosomal RNA". It matches the Rfam family "Bacterial small subunit ribosomal RNA", at positions 29 to 507 of the family's 1533-position model. The record is from RNAcentral.